UCUAAUACCGGAUAUGACACGGGGUCGCAUGAUCUCCGUGUGGAAAGCUCCGGCGGUGAAGGAUGAGCCCGCGGCCUAUCAGCUUGUUGGUGAGGUAGUGGCUCACCAAGGCGACGACGGG
Molecule: ribosomal RNA, 121 nt
Filed under: Streptomyces toyocaensis
Lineage: Bacteria; Bacillati; Actinomycetota; Actinomycetes; Kitasatosporales; Streptomycetaceae
Description: partial 16S rRNA
Rfam family: Bacterial small subunit ribosomal RNA
Source: RNAcentral